GGUUGCGAAAGGGACUGGAGGUGGGCUUUACGGCGCUGGUCGAGACUAUCUGGAGCAAGCGCCGCAUCGUCGAGGUUUAUCUCAACAUCGCCGAAUUCGACGAGGGCGUCUUCGGUGCGCAGGCAGCGGCGCUGCAUUAUUUUGGCCGCGAUGCGGCGAUCCUGUCGCUCGAUCAGGCGGCGCGGCUGGCGACGGUACUGCCCGACCCCAAGGGCCGCGAUCCGCAACGCGCCACCGCCUUCAUGAACCGCCGCGCCGCAUCGAUUGCCGAUGGGGCAAGGACGCUGGAGGGCGAGGGGCGAGCAGGGUGUUUGGAGUGACCAGGGUC
RNAcentral lists this ribosomal RNA (328 nucleotides) under uncultured eukaryote. Its description in RNAcentral is "partial small subunit ribosomal RNA". The record is from RNAcentral.